GGCUAGUUUAGCCCUUGGGGCUAUAAAUAGAAGUGGUGGCCGGCCUUGGCUGGUGCUGAGCACCCUUGGAACUUAGUGUCCAUGCUUGGGGAGUGCUAGUGAGGCCUCUAACUCACAUAUGCUUGAUAGUGAUCAUCCGAUUGUGUGAGUGAGCGAUUCUAGUGCGUUGCAUUGAGAGAUUGCAUCGAGUGACACUAGGUGUUCGUGUUGCAAGCCGGUGGUGCUUGUUACUCUUGGAGGUUGCCACCUCCUAGACGGCUUGGUGGCUUGUGACUCCGUCGAAGCACGCAAGGAGAUUGUGCGGUGCUCCGGAGAAGAGAUUGUGAGGGGUACGGUGCUCACCCCGCGGAGAUCGCGAAGAGCAACUCUAGUUGAGCGAGACGUGAAGAGCGACAAGUGGUCCGGCCAGGUCAAGUGCUAGAGCUUGUGGUAAGCACUCCACGUGGGAGAGUGUGACUUGCGGGUCACCACUAGCAAGAGGACCGGCGGCAACCUUGGAGCUUGUCUCAACGGGGACGUAGCUUGGUGGCAACCAAGUGAACCUCGGGAGAAAAUCAUCGUGUCAACAUUGUUCUUCCCGUUGGUUUGCAAGUCCCUAACACAAGCUUGUAUUUACAUUCAUAUAUUUAUGCUUGUGUAGUUGCUCUUGUAAUUAGUUAGCUUGUGUAGCUUGCUAGUUAUCUUCUUGCUUGUGUAGCUAGAAGUAGUUCCCUUGCGUGACUAAUUUGGUUUGUGUAACCUUGUCAGUCACAUUGCUUAGUUUGUGUAGCUAAGUAUUUUGCGCUCUCUAAUUUGGCAUUGGUUGCCUUGUUAUUGAGCUUGCUAGUGAGCUUAGGCUUUGUGCGCUUUGCCUCACUAGUUUGAGUAGAAGCUCCCCCGGUUUGCAAAGUACUAGCUGCAUAGGUUUGUGUGACCUUGCUCCUAGAAUUGUAUAGGCGAGCUCUUGCUAAGGUAGCACCUUGCUUGCUUGUUUAGAAUCUUUUCAAGGUGCUAGAGAACUUAGAUAGAGGGGUGUAGUCUUGGCUAGACCGAUAGUUUUAAUUCCGCAUUUGUUUCGGUUAGCCGGCGUAGUAAAUUUUAGAAAGGACUAUUCACCCCCCCUCUAGUCCGCCAUCUCGACCCUACAAGUGGUAUCAGAGCUAGGUCUCUCAUUUGUGGUCUUCACCGACCCGAGAGGAUGGCUGCUUAUGGGCUAGAUGUUGAGUGUCCACACAUUUUUGAUGGCACACACUUUGCACGGUGGAGAAAUUGGAUGCAAUGCAAUUUUAAGUUUAUUUCUCCUCAAAUGUGGUGGAUCGUAGGUGUGGGCUUUUCUUGUGCAAUUGAUAAAAAGGUUGCAACUCAAGUGCAAAAGAAAUGCCUACAUCUUGAUUGCCAAGCUACUAACAUCUUCUACUCAUCUAUGAAAGAUAAUAUUUUUGGUGAGAUCAUGGAUAUGAAGUCCGCCCAUGAGAUUUGGGUAUUUCUCAAUGAGAAAUAUGGGGCAAUAUCCAAAGAAGAUGAUGUGCCAAAGGUGGACGCAAAUGAGGAUGCAGAGCAUGACCACAUUGUGGUUGUGGAGGAUUGCUCCACCUCAUGGUCAAGUGAUGCAAAUGAUGAUGCUACCUCAUGCACACUUGAUGAUGAAGAUGAUGGCUAUGAGAGUGAUGCUUCCACAAGCUCAUCUACUACAUCACCACAUUGCUUCAUGUCACAUGGUGACACUAAGGUAUCUAUCGGUGAUGUGAUUAUUGAUUGUGAUGGUCCAAAUUUUGAGCUUGUAUGCAAACUCUCAAAAGCUUUAAGAAAUGAGCUAGAAAAAACAAAUAAACUGAAAAAUGAAAACUCAUUUCUAAAGACCACAUGUGAACAACAAAAACUCAUUUCUACUUUAUGUUACUACUUGUUCACAUGAGGAGCUAAACUUGGUUCAUGAGGAACUUUGUGUUACUCAUGAUAACUUGGUAAAAGAUCAUGCAUUUCUCACUAAGAAGAUUUCUAAUGAAGAAAUUAAAACUAGUGAGAGCUCAUAACUUGGGUCAAAUGAUCAAUCACAUAUUGUUACUAACCCUUGUGAUGUAGGCAAGAAGCAUGUAUCCACCUCUUGUGAUGAUUUAUUAUCUAUGCCAUGUUCUUCACAUUUAGAUGCUUGUUCUACUUCUAUGUCUUGUGAGACUAACCUUUUGAAGGAGAACAAUAAGCUCAAUGAACAAGUGAAGAAUUUGAGCAACAAGCUAGAGAGGUGCUACUACUCAAAAGUCACCUUUGAGAAUAUAUUGAAGACCCAAAGAAACUAUGGUGACAAAUAUGGCCUUGGCUUCAAGAAGAAGAUGACAAAGGGCAAAAGAAAGCAAGAAAAGAGGAAGCUUUCUCAUUUUAUGUGCUAUCGGUGCCAUGAAAUGGGACAUCUUGCUAAUGGUUGCCCAAACAAAGAGAAGCUCAAGAAGAUGAAAGAAGAAGAGAGGCUCAAGCAUGUCAAGUGCUUCAAGUGCCGCACUUGGGGUCAUCUCACCUCAAUGUGCCCAACCAAGCAAUUGGUGAAGCAUCAAGCGAAGCCUCAACAAAAGCCACAAGUUGAGCAAGAAAAUGCACCCCAAGCUCAAGUCAAGAUCAACCAUGAUUGUGAUGACUUCAUGAUGAUAAAAAAGAAAACAAGAAGGGGUGGAAGAGCAAGGCAUCCAAUGCAAAUCCAAGAUGCCAAGAUGAUGAGCAAGAAUCAAGACAAGAAUAAAGCUUAUGCUCACAUCAAGUGCUUUGAGUGCAAGGACGAUGGACACUUUGCCUCAAAGUGUCCCACCAAGCUUGAGAAGAAGGCUCAAGCAACUUUCAAGAGGCAAGGCAAUGAGAAGCAACAUAUGAGCAAGGAAGAAAAGGCUCAAUCCAAAAGAAGUUGCUACUUAUGCCGGGAAAGGGGACACAUGGCUCAUUCAUGUCCCCUAGGUAAUAAUUCUAAGCCUAUUUCAAUUGAUGAUAUUACUAUGCUUAGAAAGGAUGGUAAUGGUACCUCUAUGGUUGCUAUUGCAAAACAUCCCGCUACUCAUACUAAGGCAUUGCCUAAGUAUGUUGCACCUAACUUGAGAGGACCCAAACUAGUUUGGGUACCAUCAAAAAGUGGAUGCUUGUUUGUAGGUACCAUCGGCAUUGUAGACUUGAUUUAAUUGAUCUUAUAUUAUUCAUCAUAUGACUGAGUCAAGUAUUGAAGCUUAGUGCUUAUCUUAUCCCAAUGCCAAGACAAGAUAGUGAAGUCCAAAUGUGCUACAACAUACAAGUGCAUAUAUUCAAGUUGUGGUGAUUUAUUGGAUUAUUUGAUGGCUUGCAAAUACAUGAGUUGAAGCUUGCAAAUUGGAUGAUCAUAAGCUAACCAAGGUAUAUCUUUGUUGAUCACAUUCAUUUGGGUGCAUAUGAGUUGAUUGAAUUGGAUAAAUAUGCAAUGUUGCUUGCUAUAAGAUGAUUGAAUGGAUUAAAUGGUUAGUAAUCGAGUUUGGAUUGAUUUGAGUUGGAUAAGUUCAUAAGAUAACUUUUAGUAAGUGGAUUGAAUGGAUAUAUGUCUUGUGAAAGUAUUCAAUCAAGUUGAUUUCAAGUUUGAUUCAAUUUGAACAAGCAUAGCUCAAUUGUUUGAAAUCUGUAAAAAAUUUUUUAAAAAAAACUGAGCUAGCAGUGAUCAAGUCUGAGUUUGAGAGAUCAAAUCUAUUUGGAAUGGCUUGAAAUUUGGUAUGCAUGCUGUACAAUUAUCAUAGAAGAUGCUGUAGAAAUUUCAUGAGAAUUGGAUAAGGGAUACUUCGGUUUUGGAGUGGAUCUUAUCAGCUAUAGUGCAGCAGUUUUCAGCAUGUAGCAGUGGUGGAAGAAUUGAAAUCUGGUAGCAAUCUAGAAGCCAAAUGAAGCUCAAAUUUUUACAGCUGCUAGAUGACUUAGUGAAUCACAUCUCCACCAAAUUUCCUGGUAUUUGGAUCUGUACAUUGUGAGAUAUGGGUAUUUCUUUAAAGGGUACAGAAUCUGCCAGAAAAGUGACAAUUAUUGGAUUGAUCUAGAGUCACUUUAAUUGAAAGGUCCUCAAGUUGGAAACAUGUUUAUAAGUGUUUGAGGAACCUAAGUUUGGUUUUGAAUUGAUCUAUAAGCAUGACAAGUAAUGAGUACAAGAUCAUUUGAUUAUGGAAUGUACUUGAUGUACACAUUUAGUACUCAAAUUGAAGAUCAAGAUCAAACUCAAGAUGAAGAUGAAGUUUAAGUUCUAGUAACUAUUGGAAAUCAUUUGGUAGAAAGAAAAGGACUUAAACAAGUAGAAAGAAAAGUACUUAAAGAAGGAUUCUCGGAUAUUCAUCAUAUUAAGUACAUCACUUGAAUCAAUCAAUCAAAGGCAAUUCAAUUGAGUAUCAAGAAUGAUUCUUUGGAGAGAGGUCACUUCUCCCUAUGUGAGGGGCUUGCCGCCCGAGGAGUGGGUAAACCAAGUGUGGUGCUUGGAAGGCUAACAUGGAAGUGGUGAUCUAAAGGACAUUUGAGAUGCUUAGUUGAAGCAAUCAAAAGGAUUGAUCAAGAAAGCAAGCAACAACCCAAAAGAGAGCUAGUCAUGAUAUUUCAAGUGAUAUUCUUAGUAGUUCUCUCAUGCAAGCAAUGAUCAAAAGAAGAAGCAAGUCAACCACAACAAGAUAGUGCACUUAAUCAUAAAGUGGUUUUCAAUUCAUAUGGGUGAAGAUUUGAUCUAUCAAUUGGUAUCUAUGAUUGGCCUUCACCAAGCUUAUUAAUUGGACUUCACAUUGCUAUUGGAGAAAUGAAUUGGAAUCUAUAUGACUAUCCUCUUCUCCAACAUAGCAAAGGUAUCAUUGUAAUGUGCAUGAUCAUUUCAUCCCUUACUAGUAUGCGGUUAGUGCAUAUAGUACAUGCUUAAUAGGAUCAUGCAUGACAAAUGAAAAGUUUUAAAUUCAUAACCUACCACUAUUGCUUGAUUGAUUAAUUGAUCUAGUGUUAUGUAUAUGAGUUUGUUCAUGAGCUAGUGAACCCAAGUACUUGAUCUAUUUUGGAUUGUUAACAAGUAACAAGUACAACAUUGGCAAGAUAACCCUUAAUAUGAGGUGUGAAAAAGCUUGUCAUUGGUUCAAACCAGACUUGGAAGCUUAGGCAAAUCAACAUAGUUCAAGUCAACAAUUAGAAGCUCAUGAUGAUAAGAGUACAAGAACAAGACAACAAUGCAAAUGGAUAUCUAGACUCAAAUGUUUCUUCAAGUAAUAUCCUACAGUUGGUACUCAUUAUGAUGAUAGCAAAUGUUCAGGAUAGCAAACAAGUGGUUCCAUACUAGAAGACCUUAAUUGGUAGAAGAAUCCCAUAUGGUAUCGGACAAGACACUUCAAAUGAUAUCACAUUUAUACAUAUGGUAUCUAUCAUACAAGAAGGUGGUUCCACAAAUGAUCCUCAACUUUAAAUGAUCAUCAAGUGAAGCAAGUUCCCUCACCAACAAGAUUGACAAGUGAAUGACCCAUGCUAUGACAUAGGGGGAGUGCCCCACCAAAUGGUAUCAAGGUCAAAGAUCCUAUGUGGUAUCUCAAGAGCAAUUCAAGAAAUGUCAUUCCAACAUAUAUGGUGAUGUCCAUCAAAAAUACAAGAUUCAAGCCUCAACCAUCUAUCCCAAUGCAAUCCGUUGUCACAAUGAGAUUCACAUUUUUACAAUUGGUAUCAAGUGAUUUAAUUAGUAUCACAUACCUUUUAUGGAAAUUGAUGACAAAGGGGGAGAAGUUGGAACAAAGAUAUGAUCAUGGGAUAAGUUGGACAACAAAAGAUAUAUUUCAAGGGGGAGAGAUCAAAGAUGGAAAUGGACAAGGGAGCAACAUUAAAAGAAAAGAUGAUGGAUCAAAAUUCUUGGACAAAAGAGAAGCACACAAGUAGGGGGAGCAAGCUCAUGAACAUUGAUUGUUUGCAUUUGAUUUGUGCAUAUUCAUGUGCUUGCUUGCAUUACAUAAGUUUUAAAUUCAAUAUAUGCAUGCUUGUGUGGUGUAUGCUAGUUAUAGAACUUGAUUGAUGAUAUGAUAACUAGCAUGCAUAGGUUGGUAGCUAGACUUGUAUUCUUCAAGUAAAAACUAGACCCUUGCUUUUAAUGUUGAUCUCACGGGGUUUCUAGUGUUUUUGUUGUCUAGCUACUCAUGGUGCUAAGGAUGGUGUACAUUGAAUGCUUCAAAUGAUAUCGAAUUUGGUAUCGAACUACAAAGGUUUAUUCUAUACACCUUAGCACUUAGUAGGGUUUUAUGGUGCUUAUCCAAAUCUUGACAAAGAGCUUAAAUGUUGGAUAAGUAGCAUAAAAUCCAAAACAAGUUAGCAAUUUACACUUGUGUGAAGUGCUAGCUUGGAAAAGCUUAAUUUUUCCAUAUCUUUAUAGAGUUGUCAUCAAUUACCAAAAAGGGGGAGAUUGAAAGGUCCUUGUUUGGUUUUGGUAAUUGAGUGACAACUUAGGUGGACUAAUAGUGUUUAUGUGAGAUACACAGGAGAUUAGUCCACAGGUGAUUAUGUGAUGAUGGAGGAGCUCAUUGCAUAUGAGACAUGACAUGGAGUCAUGUGACCAAGGUGGAGAAGAUCAAGAUGAGGCUUGGCUUGAUGGACCGGUUGCAAGAGUGAAGGGCAAGUCGAAGGCUUUGAAGCGAGGGACCGCGUGUGACCGUGAAGCUUGAGCAAGACUUGGCGCCGAUGGACCGAGGCAACGGUGAAGAGCAAGUGAGGUCAAGAUCGAUGAACCAAUACAGUCACAUGAUGAUAUGAAGUGGAUCAUAUCAUUUGGUGAUUGGUUGGUGCAUGUGUUGCAUCAACAUUGGAGGAGUUGGAAUGGAAAGCGCAAGGCAAAGGUAUAACCUAGGGCAUUUCCAUUUCACCGGUCAUAGAUGUGUAGAGAAGUUUAUGACCGGAUUUAGGAUAGAUGGCCGUACUAUCAAGAGGGGCAAACUUGUUUGCAUAUCGGUCAUCUAGUGCCACUAGAGCGAUCUAACUUUGCAUACGUGUUAGGAUCGAGUGGCGUGGCAAGUCUGAGAGGCUAACUCCUUUGGGAAAAUGUUUGUGAAAAUGCUAACACACUUGCACAUGGUGGUGUACACUUGUUGGUGUUGGCACACUUUACAAAGGAGGUGGAGUUCCUAGGGUUGAGAGGGGUGUGGGUUCCUCUCUCCCUCCCGCCGAGCUUGCUCGGCGGGAUUCGGCGCUUUUUGAGAAAAUUAAGUGCAUAUUUUCUAUUGCGCUGGUGGGAAUUUUGGAGAAGUCACGGGAGUGUUUCUCAGUAGGAAACACUCACCGGACGCUCUGCGCGGAGGCACCGGACGCUGGCCUUUAGCGUCCGGUGUGCUGUCGGGUGCAGCAGAGUGCACCGGACGCACCGGAGAGAGUCCGGUGCCCAGCGUCCGGUGUGCGGGCGGUUUGGCGACCCUCUCUGCGCAUGAGUCCGGUGAGCACCGGACGCUCUGGGUGCGUCCGGUGGCUUGCGUCCGGUGACCGUGCGAGUUUGCGGAGCUCUCUGCGCACGGGUCCGGUGUGCACCGGACGUGUCCGGUGUGGACUAGUUGAGCGUCCGGUGGUGUUGUGUCAGGCGCGAGCGCGUGGUAGCCGUUGGCGGCAACGGUCGAGUUCAAACGGCUAGUGACACGUGGUCGACGCUUGAGCACCGGACGCUGAGGGUUGAGCGUCCGGUGGCUCCCUAUGAGCGUGCGGUGCCCACGUGCUUUGCCCAGUGAAGGGGCAACGGCUAGUUUAGCCCUUGGGGCUAUAAAUAGAAGUGGUGGCCGGCCUUGGCUGGUGCUGAGCACCCUUGGGACUUAGUGUCCAUGCUUGGGGAGUGCUAGUGAAGCCUCUAACUCACAUAUGCUUGAUAGUGAUCAUCCGAUUGUGUGAGUGAGCGAUUCUAGUGCGUUGCAUUGAGAGAUUGCAUCGAGUGGCACUAGGUGUUCGUGUUGCAAGCUGGUGGUGCUUGUUACUCUUGGAGGUUGCCACCUCCUAGACGGCUUGGUGGCUUGUGACUCCGUCGAAG
Molecule: long non-coding RNA, 7969 nt
Filed under: Sorghum bicolor (sorghum)
Lineage: Eukaryota; Viridiplantae; Streptophyta; Magnoliopsida; Poales; Poaceae
Description: long non-coding RNA (SBIC_LNC018733)
Source: RNAcentral